This 842-nucleotide long non-coding RNA is filed under the name Phoenix dactylifera (date palm). RNAcentral's name for it is "long non-coding RNA (PDAC_LNC001594)". Lineage: Eukaryota; Viridiplantae; Streptophyta; Magnoliopsida; Arecales; Arecaceae. The record is from RNAcentral.
GAGGGGAAGGAUGAUGGAUUCCGCUAUUUGGUAGCCAUCGACCGCGUGGUCGACACGUGGAACGCAGUGCCGGGUUUACAGAAGGAAGAAGAUCAUGCAGCGAUUAAGCUGGGAGCGGGAGGAAGCACGACGACGGGCCAUGCACAUGGGUCUGUGGCUAGCGGAAAGUUCGUGACACAGGGAGUGGAAAGCCGUUCACAGUUGAAGUGGGAGGAAGUUCGAAGCUAGAAGUGGGAGAACGCUAGAGGAAGAGCCAUGCAUGGGCUCCGAAGCAAGGACGUGGGCUCCAAAGCGAGAGAGAGAGUGGGUUGUGAGGAUAAUAAUGUUAUUUUGAUGAUUAACACAACCAUUGAGGCUAUAUCAAAUUAGAAAUGCAAAUUAACUCGAUACAUCAUUGAUAAAUGACACACCCUCGAUACAUUCACGAUGCGUUAGGAAUAUAUGGUCAAAACCACUCUUAAGAAUUGAUAAUGAGAUAAAUUUGUAAUAGAGAAUGGUAGAAAGCUCAAGAAUCUAUUUUGGCAAAGUUUCACGUUAAAAAUACCUAAAAGGGCAAUUCAGUAAUUUCCACUGUUAAGGGUAUGAAACUCUACUAUGCCAUGCAUCGUAAUUUGCUUGGAAUAUCAUAUUGUUGUUUCAAUGUGCAUAACUAACCUUCAAAGUGCAGAAAAACAUGGUUAGAGUCGACCCCAAUUAGUUUGGAGUCGAUCCCGAUACAUUUGGCACGCCUUGAAACGAAGUGGCAUGCCUUUGGAACACUUGGCACAGAGUAGGAGUCGAUCCCAGAAGAGAUGGAGUCGACUCUGGCACGUUUUGAAAACAUUCUGGCACAUCCUGGCACA